GAUUCUGGCUCAGGAUGAACGCUAGCUACAGGCUUAACACAAGCAAGUCGAGGGGCAGCAUGAAAGGAACUUCGGUUCUUUUUGAUGGCGACCGGCGCACGGGUGCGUAACGCGUAUCGAACCUGCCUCAUACUCGGGGAUAGCCUUGCGAAAGUAAGAUUAAUACCCGGCGGUCUCGGACGGCCGCAUGACAGUCCGAGUGAAGAUUUAUCGGUAUGAGAUGGCGAUGCGUCCCAUUAG
This 240-nucleotide ribosomal RNA is filed under the name uncultured bacterium. RNAcentral's name for it is "partial 16S ribosomal RNA". It matches the Rfam family "Bacterial small subunit ribosomal RNA", at positions 15 to 244 of the family's 1533-position model. The record is from RNAcentral.